This 61-nucleotide non-coding RNA is filed under the name bovine gut metagenome. The record is from RNAcentral.
GUAGUAACAACGAACUGUGAGAAGUCAGCAGAGGCCAUAGUACCGGGAAACCGGGAAGGGC